Molecule: ribosomal RNA, 175 nt
Filed under: Sedercypris calidus (clanwilliam redfin)
Lineage: Eukaryota; Metazoa; Chordata; Actinopteri; Cypriniformes; Cyprinidae
Description: partial 12S rRNA
Source: RNAcentral
CACCGCGGUUAGACGAGAGGCCCCAGUUGACGAUAUAACGGCGUAAAGGGUGGUUAGGAACAAAAAAGAAUAAAGCCAAAUGGCCCCUUGGCCGUCAUACGCUUCUAGGCGUCCGAAGCCCCACAGACGAAAGUAGCUUUAAUUAAAUCUGCCCGACCCCACGAAAGCUAAGAAA